RNAcentral lists this long non-coding RNA (464 nucleotides) under Amborella trichopoda. RNAcentral's name for it is "long non-coding RNA (ATRI_LNC000196)". The record is from RNAcentral. Lineage: Eukaryota; Viridiplantae; Streptophyta; Magnoliopsida; Amborellales; Amborellaceae.
GGACUAACUUUAAAUUUUUUUUUGGUGCCCUACUAAUGAAAAACUAAAAAAAAAAAAAUUAAAAUUCGAAUCCAGGAUGCCAUCCUAAGAUGAAGGGGCAAUCUUGAAAAUAAUGAAAAAAGAGGGUUUGGCCGAUCUUCUUUAUAAUUUCCACCGGAGCAUUUUGUAUUUUAGAAUUUUUUUAAAGAUCUAUACGUAAAUCACUCAAAAAUUUAAUGAUGUACAAGACUACUUUUGAUGAAUAAAACUUUAGUAAUGCUUCUAAAAAAGUGCAAAAAAAAAAAAAAAUUUCACAAAAGGGUUACUAUCUUAAUCGAAAGUGAUCCUUUCUCUAGUUUAAAUGCCAAGAAGAAUUCAGGAAAGGGUUGGUAUCUUAAUUGAAAUGAAAGUGAUCCUAUAUCUACUUUGAAAGCAAAAGGUUGCAUUGGGUGGUGCAUAAAUGAGAAAUUAGGGUAAGAGCCGAG